AAUUUUGGACAAUGGGGGCAACCCUGAUCCAGCCAUCCCGCGUGUGCGAUGAAGGCCUUCGGGUUGUAAAGCACUUUUGGCAGGGAAGACAAGGCUCUGGCUAAUACCUGGCGCUGCUGACGGUCCCUGCAGAAUAAGCACGGGACAACCAAGGCACAGCCGCCGGGGUAAUACGAGGGGUGCGAGCGUUAAUCGGAAUUAAUGGGCGUAAAGCGUGCGCAGGCGGUUCGGCAAGAAGGAUGUGAAAUCCCAGGGCUUAACCUUGGAACUGCAUUCUUAACUGCCGGGCUAGAGUAUGGCAGAGGGGGGUAGAAUUCCGCGGGUAGCAGUGAAAUGCGUAGAGAUGCGGAGGAAUACCGAUGGCGAAGGCAGCCCCCUGGGAUAAUACUGAUGCUCAUGCACGAAAGCGUGGGGAGCAAAC
This 421-nucleotide ribosomal RNA is filed under the name uncultured bacterium. RNAcentral describes it as "partial 16S ribosomal RNA". It matches the Rfam family "Bacterial small subunit ribosomal RNA", at positions 360 to 773 of the family's 1533-position model. The record is from RNAcentral.